UUCAAGAGGGCCAGGUCCAUCCCA
Molecule: non-coding RNA, 24 nt
Filed under: Rattus norvegicus (Norway rat)
Lineage: Eukaryota; Metazoa; Chordata; Mammalia; Rodentia; Muridae
Source: RNAcentral